RNAcentral lists this ribosomal RNA (450 nucleotides) under uncultured bacterium. Its description in RNAcentral is "partial 16S ribosomal RNA". It matches the Rfam family "Bacterial small subunit ribosomal RNA", at positions 29 to 523 of the family's 1533-position model. The record is from RNAcentral.
AACGAACGCUGGCGUCAUGCCUAACACAUGCAAGUCGAACGAUGCUUUCGGGCAUAGUGGCGCACGGGUGCGUAACGCGUGGGAAUCUGCCCUUAGGUUCGGAAUAACAGUUAGAAAUGACUGCUAAUACCGGAUGAUGACGUUAAGUCCAAAGAUUUAUCGCCUGAGGAUGAGCCCGCGUAGGAUUAGCUAGUUGGUGUGGUAAGAGCGCACCAAGGCGACGAUCCUUAGCUGGUCUGAGAGGAUGAUCAGCCACACUGGGACUGAGACACGGCCCAGACUACUACGGGAGGCAGCAGUGGGGAAUAUUGGACAAUGGGCGCAAGCCUGAUCCAGCAAUGCCGCGUGAGUGAUGAAGGCCUUAGGGUUGUAAAGCUCUUUUACCCGUGAUGAUAAUGACAGUAGCGGGAGAAUAAGCCCCGGCUAACUCCGUGCCAGCCGCCGCCGUAA